CGUGUAGGCGGCUUGGUAAGUCUGGCGUGAAAUCUUGGGGCUCAACCCCAAGCGUGCGUUGGAUACUGCCUCGCUCGAGUCCGGGAGAGGAAAGCGGAAUUCCCAGUGUAGCGGUGAAAUGCGCAGAUAUUGGGAAGAACACCGGUGGCGAAGGCGGCUUUCUGGAACGGUACUGACGCUGAGACGCGAAAGCGUGGGGAGCAAACAGGAUUAGAUACCCUGGUAGUCC
This 229-nucleotide ribosomal RNA is filed under the name uncultured bacterium. RNAcentral describes it as "partial 16S ribosomal RNA". It matches the Rfam family "Bacterial small subunit ribosomal RNA", at positions 568 to 796 of the family's 1533-position model. The record is from RNAcentral.